GGAAGGUCCGGGCGUUAUCCGGAUUUACUGGGUGUAAAGGGAGCGUAGGCCGGAGAUUAAGCGUGUUGUGAAAUGUAGAUGCUCAACAUCUGCACUGCAGCGCGAACUGGUUUCCUUGAGUACGCACAAAGUGGGCGGAAUUCGUGGUGUAGCGGUGAAAUGCUUAGAUAUCACGAAGAACUCCGAUUGCGAAGGCAGCUCACUGGAGCGCAACUGACGCUGAAGCUCGAAAGUGCGGGUAUCGAACAGGAUUAGAUACCCUGGUAGUCCGCACGGUAAACGAUGGAUGCCCGCUGUUGGUCUGAAUAGGUCAGCGGCCAAGCGAAAGCAUUAAGCAUCCCACCUGGGGAGUACGCCGGCAACGGUGAAACUCAAAGGAAUUGACGG
This 387-nucleotide ribosomal RNA is filed under the name uncultured bacterium. Its description in RNAcentral is "bacterial SSU rRNA". It matches the Rfam family "Bacterial small subunit ribosomal RNA", at positions 527 to 916 of the family's 1533-position model. The record is from RNAcentral.